RNAcentral lists this ribosomal RNA (494 nucleotides) under uncultured bacterium. Its description in RNAcentral is "partial 16S ribosomal RNA". It matches the Rfam family "Bacterial small subunit ribosomal RNA", at positions 31 to 507 of the family's 1533-position model. The record is from RNAcentral.
GAACGCUGGCGGCGUGCCUAAUACAUGCAAGUCGAGCGAACAGACGAGGAGCUUGCUCCUUCGACGUUAGCGGCGGACGGGUGAGUAACACGUAGGUAACCUACCUAUAAGACUGGGAUAACUUCGGGAAACCGGAGCUAAUACCGGAUAAUAUUUCGAACCGCAUGGUUCGAUAGUGAAAGAUGGCUUUGCUAUCACUUAUAGAUGGACCUGCGCCGUAUUAGCUAGUUGGUAAGGUAACGGCUUACCAAGGCAACGAUACGUAGCCGACCUGAGAGGGUGAUCGGCCACACUGGAACUGAGACACGGUCCAGACUCCUACGGGAGGCAGCAGUAGGGAAUCUUCCGCAAUGGGCGAAAGCCUGACGGAGCAACGCCGCGUGAGUGAUGAAGGUCUUCGGAUCGUAAAACUCUGUUAUUAGGGAAGAACAAACGUGUAAGUAACUGUGCACGUCUUGACGGUACCUAAUCAGAAAGCCACGGCUAACUACGUG